UUGAUUAUUUAAUCGUUUUCUCAGACGUUAUGAUUGUCAGGGUUGGUUACUUCGGCGGGCGCAGACCAGCUGCUGUUACGCAGCCGGCAUCGCUCGGGAGCCAUGGCCCGCCGAAGCUGCUUUACAGCUGAUGUAUACAAGGGUGGGAGCGGAGAUUUGAAAAAUCUCCAAACUCGGUAAUGAUCCUUCCGCAGGUUCACCUACGGAAA
Molecule: unclassified non-coding RNA, 209 nt
Filed under: uncultured fungus
Lineage: Eukaryota; Fungi
Description: sequence contains ITS1
Source: RNAcentral